Homo sapiens (human) is the source of this 5155-nucleotide long non-coding RNA. Ensembl annotates it as long intergenic non-protein coding RNA 667. The record is from Ensembl. Lineage: Eukaryota; Metazoa; Chordata; Mammalia; Primates; Hominidae.
GGGGAGGCGCAGGAUGGACGCGUUGGCUGUCAUGAUGUAGGACCUCCUGACCUAGAACCAUGCCCGGCGCAGGGAGAACAACGAGCUUACGGACCGGGUGCGGGGGCUGCUGUGCGAGAAAGCCUACCUGCUGGCCCGGGAGCGUUCGCCGGCCCACCUGGUGGCUUUCCCUGGACGUUUAACGGCGACUCCGCCCGGCCUCCCGACUUUUUGAUGCAGGCGUUCUCUUACAUGACUUUCUUCGAGGCUAGAUUCUCGAAAGACAUCCUGAAGGUGGCUUUCUUAAUUAGCUGCCUCACCGGCUGGCGGAGCAGUUCGUAGUCGCCUACAUCGAGAGGGAGAGCCCCGUCCUGGCUCAGUACUGGGGCUUCGUGGACGCGCUGUAGCGGGUCUUCGCCGUCGUGGGUAGGAAACAGUCGGGCCGGAUCCCCGGUGUCUGGGGAGCGGCUGCCGGCCGGGCCCGCGCGAGCCGCUUCACUCCUACAAGCCCGGCUCACUAGUUCCAAGCUGCUGGACUUUGACCCUCGCUGGGAAGCUUGAUCGCCGCCUGUUCUCGCCAAUCUCUAUGCCUUUGCACUGCCCAGCAACCCGGUCACUGCCCAGGACCUGUUAAAAGUUGAAUGGACCUCCCAGAAUCACGCCGCUGCCACCGCCGUUUCUAGAGACGGCUUUUGGCCACCUUUGAGAAUCAGGGUCAAACUUGGAAGGGCCUGCAUUUGUCACACUUCCUCGGACACUAAUUUGGAUAGUUCAGGCCCAGAGACGGCUUCCCGGGUUAGUGUGCCUGACAACACUGAAGAAAAAUUGUGACAUUUUCCUUCCCCAGAAUUACUUCGUUUUAUACAUUUCACUUCUCUUCUGAAAUCACAGCAAUGCCAGUUUGCGCCUUUUGGUCUGAGGAACGCAGGCCCUGGCCACUACCAGGAAAAAGUAUUUACUUUUAAAACUUGAAUGUAUAUCUUUACCGUAUGCCUAGUACAGUAGUGCUUGGAAGAAACAGAUUAGUAAGACAAAAUAUAUGUCUUCAAGAACACUUACGUUCUGAGAAAGAAUUCUGAAUGCAGAUUCUAAUGUCUGAACCUUCUGGAUUUCAGCUUUGGCAAGCUUCCUCUGUUUCUGAGACACCUCCAUCACCUGGGUUACAAUCCCAUCCAUGAUUUUCCCCAUCUCCAGGCAUUUUUCAUGGAAAGCUCCUCAUGCUUUUUAAUUCCAGUUUAUCCAUUUGUGUGGCUUUAACCUCCACAUCCAGGUCUUUCUGGCUAAACUGCAGUAUAUCCACAAUGGGGCCAAUGGACACAUAAGGGAGGCCCUAUCACAGGAACACGAACACCCGGAGUCGCUAGAAAUCAGAUUCCACCGGCUUUGCUUCAGGCCGACUUCCUAAGGAAGGCAUGGUAGCAUCACAGAUGCUGUUUGUCUCAGUUUCCUGAGAAGCCAGUUUCUUAGAGCUGUCAUUCAAGAGUGGGUCAAAUUUGAGAUAUAAAAACCUUUCUCAAGGUAGACUCUUUGGCCCCUAUGCCUAGUAUGUCAGCUGGGCCUCUGAAGCUCUCCUCUUUGAGGUCCUGGCAGGCUCUGGCCCCUGUUGAGAAGGGGAAGCAGUCAUGUGAACUCAUGUGCUGGAAGAAUCCACUCUACCCCUUCCCUGGCUUCUCUGCUGCAAUUUUUGUCUUUAAACGUAUUUUCAGAUCCUUUGCACAUGGCCUGCUAUCAACAAUCCUCUACAAUGAUUCUCAGCAUCACCUAGGGAGCUUAUGUAAAAUCUCAAAUUCCUGGGCCCUAUCCCCAGAGUUUCUUAUCAAGUAAGUCUGCAUUGGGAUCUGAGGAUUUGCAUCUCUAACAAAAAUUCCUAGGCGAUGCUCACACUGUUGGUGUAAGGUUUCCUUGAUGGAGAACUAUCAAAGCAGUCAAAGCUAUCAAAAUAAAAAAGAAUUCUGAUUGGGUGCAGUGGCUCACACCUGUCAUUCCAGCACUUUGAGAGGCCAAGGUGGGCAGAUCACAUGAGGCCAGGAGUUCAAGACCAGCCUGGCCAACAUGGCAGAAACCCCAUCUCUACUAAAAAUACCAAAAUUAGCCGGGCAUGGUGGAACACACCUGCAAUCCCAGCUACUCGGGAGGCUGAGGCAAGAGAAUCGCUUGAACCUGGGAGGCAGAAGUUGCAGUGAAACAAGUUGGUGCCAAUGCAUUCCAGCCUGGAUGAUGGAGCGAGACUCUGUCUCAAGAAAAAAAAAACAAAAACAAAAACAGAACUCUGCCUCAUAGCGUCUUUUAAGUUAUACACUGGACCUAUCCUUUCCUCACUGACAGACAUUUUAAAAAUUUUUUGGUAAGGCCUAGUUCAUAUAAAAUGUAAUCCAAGCCAAAAGUUAACAAGAAUAAGGGGAGGAAAGGGGACUCCAAUAGCAGAGAAAGGUAUUUACCUGGGAUAUACACUGCAAGAAAAUCAAAGCUAUAAGAAACGUCCAUGAAUAGUAGCCAUAAGGCAUCAGAGUGAUAAAAUUCCUGUCCCUAGGAGGGAAUAUUGGAGUUUGCCAGAGAAACAGAAUGAGAGAGACAGAGAGGUUUAUUGUAGGAAUUGGCUCAUAUGAUUACGGAGGCUGAGAAGACCCACGAUCUGCCAUCUGCAAGCUGGAGAAUCAGGAAAGCUGGAGGUGUAAUUCAGUCAAGUCCAAUGGCCAGAGAAGCAAGUGUACUGAUAUCCAAGAGCAGGAGAAAAUAGAUGUCCCAGAACAAGCAGAGAGGCUGAUUUUGUCCUUCCUCUGCCUUUUUGUUUCAUAUGGGGCACUGAAUGGACUGAUGCCCAUCCACAUUAGUGAGGGUGGAUCUUCUUUACUCAGUCUACCAGUAGAAAUGUCAAUGACUUCCAGAAACACCCUCACCAACACACGUGGAAAUAAUGUUUUACCAGGUAUCUGGGCAUCCCUUGGUUCACUCAAGUUGACACAAAAUUAACCAUCACAGAAGGAGACUGGCCUUACUCUGAAAUUAGGAAACUAAAGAAGUGACCAGAAUGGAGACUAGGUAGAGACAACUAGUUCUCUACCAAACAUGUACAGUUAUUCGUUGGUAUCUGAAGGGGAUUGGUUCCAGGAACUCUCAGGGAUACCAAAAUCUGCAGGUGCUCAAGUCAUUUAUAUAAAAUAUUACAGUAUUUGCAUAUAACCUUUGCACAUCUUCCAUAUACUUUAAAUCAUCUCUACAUUACUUAUAAUAAUGAAUGUGUAAAUGCUAUGAAAAUAGUUACUACACUAUUGUUUAUUUGUAUUUUUAUUGAAUUGUUUUGGGGUGGGGGGCAGCUGUAUCUUUCUUAGUAAUAGAACCCCUGGUUUUAGCUGGGCACAUGACUGCCCUCAAUAAAGAUUAAAGUACCCCAGCCUUCCUUGAGAUUGUGGCCAUGUGACUGAACUUUAGACAGUGAGAUAUAAGCAGAUAUCUUCUGUGGCAGUGUUAGGAAACUAUUAAAGACAGUAAGAACAUUGCCCUUUGCCUUCUUUUUCCUUUCUUCAUUUUUCUGCCUGGAAUGCAAAUGUGAUGGCUAACACCCUAGCAGCCAUUUUAGAUUAUGAAGAUGAGAGUCACUCCCCAGGAAGGGUGGACCUGAAAGCUGGAUUCUAGAUGUGGAAUGACAAUACCAGCCCUGGACUACCUACCUGUAGGCUGUGUGUGUGUGUGUGUGAUUGACAGAGAGAGAGAGAGAUAGAUACCACAAGUAACACAAAGCAUCAUACCUGGGACUGGGAAGGUUAAUGUUUAAACAUUUUAAAUGUGGCAUUGGUUUGUUGAAGACAGUCAAGCAGUAGGUGCUGCAGGCUUUGUUGAGGCUAGAAAGCUGUUGGUCUUUAUUAGGUGAUGGCAAAACAAUGGAUCACAUUUUCAUGUGCUGUGUCUUGGGAGGCAAAUGAUGAGAAUGUAGGAUUGGGGAAAAUGGUAAGGAAAAUCCAAAAUGUUCAUGUUUUCUAACCCCUUCUUGCCAAUCUUAAAAGAAGGACAAACAGGCUAGAUUAAGCAAGUCUACAGUUACAAUUGGAAGGAAACACAGCCGUACUAAGGAAGUACUCUGUCUGUGGCCUGCAGUCUAGUUUGACUAGGUCCUGUAUUUGAGCUUUGAAAGAGUAAAGAAUACAAGUGCUCGUAUACCCCUGAAGUAGUUACCAGCAGUGACUGCAAGGAGGUAAUCUUAUGGGAUGAAACUAUAACUCUGUAUUAACCAUCAUAUAUAGCAUAUAUGUGUAUAUGUAUGUGUGUGUGUGUAUAUGUGUAUAUAAAUAUAUGUGUGUGUAUAUACACACAUGUACACACCCUACAACCCAGUGAUUUCAAAAAAUUAAACAUUUGUUUAGCUCAUGAAUCUGUGGGUUGGGUGAACAUUUCUAUUGGUCUUGGCUGGGCUCACCUGUACCCAGUCAGCUGCAGGGUCUAGCUCUUCUUAUCUUGGCUGGGAUCUCACACAUGUCUAGGAUCAGCUGCUUUACUAGUCUAGGAUUGUCUUGGCUGAGACAGGUGGACUACUCAGUUCUCCUCCACUGCCUUAUCCUUCAGCUGGCCAGCCCAGAAAUGUUGCCAUGUUUACAGCAUAAGAGCAAGCAAGAAAGAAUAAUAUGCAACCACUUUUCCAAGCCUAAGGUGAAAGGGCGGGCAGAACCUGUGGUGUUAGGAGGCAACUCAUACCAGCCCAUGGGUCUACCGUUUAAUUUUCAGAAAUUUGGCAAGCUGAUUGUUAACACAGCUGUUGUUUAAUUUAUGUACUUGUAAUUAAAUAAUUUACAUUAAAACAAAGAUAAUAGGUACUCAAAACUCAUGACUUUCUAGUUAUUUUAUUAUAUUUUACUAUUGUCUGUCCUCUUAAGGUGUUUGUUUCUAGUGUAUCUGGUGGAAACACUACUUCAUGUUUCAGUUGUGUCAAACCAGUAGCUUGAAAUCAGCCACUGUUGGAGUGUUUAUACCACAGAAAUUGAUAGAAGCUACAAAUGAAGUGUUGCUUGUUGAUUUGUUUUGUUAAUUGUCUGGCUUAAGAAAGUGGUAGAGAAAACAUUAAUGCAGAUUAAAUUUAAAAGCGUGUUGUGUCUGCGGCCGUUACAUUGCAAAUACAAAAAAUAAUUGAGGAAAUGUUCUUUGAAAACUAUUAUCUAAUUCUGCAAAGUUGUCACCUCAUUUACAA